RNAcentral lists this ribosomal RNA (190 nucleotides) under Staphylococcus aureus. RNAcentral describes it as "partial 23S rRNA". It matches the Rfam family "Bacterial large subunit ribosomal RNA", at positions 1 to 187 of the family's 2925-position model. The record is from RNAcentral. Lineage: Bacteria; Bacillati; Bacillota; Bacilli; Caryophanales; Staphylococcaceae.
GAUUAAGUUAUUAAGGGCGCACAGGAUGGAUGCCUUGGCACUAGAAGCCGAUGAAGACGUUACUAACGACGAUAUGCUUUGGGGAGCUGUAAGUAAGCUUUGAUCCAGAGAUUUCCGAAUGGGGAAACCCAGCAUGAGUUAUGUCAUGUUAUCGAUAUGUGAAUACAUAGCAUAUCAGAAGGCACACCCG